This 242-nucleotide long non-coding RNA is filed under the name Gossypium raimondii (Peruvian cotton). Its description in RNAcentral is "long non-coding RNA (GRAI_LNC004548)". The record is from RNAcentral. Lineage: Eukaryota; Viridiplantae; Streptophyta; Magnoliopsida; Malvales; Malvaceae.
UCAAAAUUUUACUCCCAAAAACCCUUAAAACCUUUUAUUUUCCCCUAAAAUUUUUACUCCCUCCCACUUUUCCCCUAAAACUUUUAUUCCCUUCCCAUCCUAUCUCCCAUCUACCCCAAACCCUCCUCCCUCCAAUUUUUUUUAAUAUUUUCCCUCCAAAAUUUUACUCCUCCUAUUUACUUUCCCUCAAACUUUUAUUCCCCAAAACUUUUUAUUUUCCCCCUAAACUUUUACUUCUCACC